GUUCCUACGGGACGCAGCAGUAGGGAAUCUUCCACAAUGGGCGAAAGCCUGAUGGAGCAACGCCGCGUGGGUGAAGAAGGUCUUCGGAUCGUAAAGUUCUGUUGAAGGGGAAAAAGAGCGGAGAGAGGAAAUGAACUCCGAUUGAUAUUACCCUUCGAGGAAGUCACGGCUAACUACGUGCCAGCAGCCGCGGUAAUACGUAGGUGGCGAGCGUUAUCCGGAAUGAUUGGGCGUAAAGGGUGCGUAGGCGGCCUGCUAAGUCUGGAGUGAAAGGUACCGGCUCAACCGGUACAGGCUCUGGAAAC
RNAcentral lists this ribosomal RNA (305 nucleotides) under uncultured bacterium. RNAcentral describes it as "bacterial SSU rRNA". It matches the Rfam family "Bacterial small subunit ribosomal RNA", at positions 335 to 633 of the family's 1533-position model. The record is from RNAcentral.